GACUGAACUGGCAGGUCCACACAGAUAGACUUCUGACCUAGAGCUUCCCUAUUAUUAAAAAACUAAGUUGUCUUGUAUUUUGGCUUAUAGUUUGUAGUGGUUUUCCCCUUCAAAUCUGCUUGCAUGAAGAGAUAUUCAAUGUGACAAUCAAAUUACUAAAAUACAGUUACAUGAUUACAGCAAAUUAUGAUAAGGGGGGAAACCCUAGGUGUAGUAGCUGGGAAAUCGCCUUUGUUUACAGUAUUUAUGAAUAACUUUUUAAUACUUAGAGCCAUAUCCUAAUGGGGUGAAGGCCAUUUUUGUUUAACUAGUUCAUGGUUCCUUGGAUUUAAUAGCUUCUUAGCCUGUGAAAUCAGAAUUAGAUCACAGGUGUGAUAGCCUUUUAAAGUAUGCCUUACUGUGUGGCUGGGGAGCUAGUCCAAUAGAUAAAGCACUAGCAGACAAUGAAAACCAGCAUUCAGACCCUUAAAAAUGGGUGGAUAUGUAGGCCAAGUGUAAUCCUUGCACUGGGAAUGUAGAGAUAGUAUCCCACAAAGCAAGCUGGCCAAAUUGUAAACUCUAGGUUCAGUGUAAGACCCUGCAUAAAUACAAGGUGGUGAGCCAUCUGGAAAGAUACUUGAUUUUAGCAUCUUACACAUAAAAGAGCACAGAACGUUUUUGGUUUUUUAUUUUUUAAGUUUACCAGUGCUAUUUCAUCUUUAUUCAAUGUUUGCUUUAUGCCAUCUUAGGAUUAUGGAAUCAGGGUUGGCUAUGUGCCUGUUCUUUCAUAGGAGAUACUCUGGGAAGUGGGGUAAAACACAUCUCUGCCCUCAGAGCUUAGGAUAGUGUGUUUAUCAGUACACGAGGAUGGCUAGUCUUCCUCCCAGAUGAGAAGUUUUUAGUAACAGGUGAAAAUACAUUUAUUUUUUUUAAAUGAUGAUUAUAAAUGUGUAAUAAUGUCUUUACAAUUUUAUUCUUGAAAACAUUUGUAAUAAAAAGUAAGUAGUAGGAAAAUUUUAUAUAUCCCAUGAAGCCCAAAGGAAAAAUCCAGUGCUUGAAGAGGAAAGGGAGGGGGAGCAGUAUAUUACUGACAGAAGCGUGGGGGUUGUCAUGCUAGUGGUUUGCGUGCUGGUUUUGUUUUUAAAAAGUCAAGAAAUGGUCUGAAAUGUAUGAAAUGUAGUUAGGUCACCUCAGGUUUGGAAGGGAAUAGACCAAAUGGCCUUUAUGGGAUGUUUGUGUUACUAAGAGGUAGACUGUUUAUUCUGUCUUAAGU
Molecule: long non-coding RNA, 1252 nt
Filed under: Mus musculus (house mouse)
Lineage: Eukaryota; Metazoa; Chordata; Mammalia; Rodentia; Muridae
Description: long non-coding RNA chr18:61585509-61586761
Source: RNAcentral